This is a long non-coding RNA of Pipistrellus kuhlii (Kuhl's pipistrelle), 190 nucleotides long. RefSeq lists it as uncharacterized. NCBI's taxonomy places the organism in Eukaryota, Metazoa, Chordata, Mammalia, Chiroptera, Vespertilionidae. The transcript has 3 exons. The record is from RefSeq and is a predicted model, not a curated record.
AGUAUUUUAAAAAUGCCAAGGCCCUGGUGCUGUUGUAGGCGGUGGGAACGGCACCAUGUGUCUGACUAGUGGGGCCAGACCAAACCUGGGUUCAGCAACCUCGGUACUUGGGGUCUGGCUAGGAAAGAAUUCAAAGUCCAGACCCAUCGUAAGAGUACAUUUAUUUGGUAAAUUACAGAGGUAGAAGAAG